RNAcentral lists this ribosomal RNA (553 nucleotides) under uncultured bacterium. RNAcentral describes it as "partial 16S ribosomal RNA". It matches the Rfam family "Bacterial small subunit ribosomal RNA", at positions 355 to 900 of the family's 1533-position model. The record is from RNAcentral.
UGGGGAAUAUUGCACAAUGGGCGCAAGCCUGAUGCAGCCAUGCCGCGUGUGUGAAGAAGGCCUUCGGGUUGUAAAGCACUUUCAGCGAGGAGGAAGGUGGUGGACUUAAUACGUUCAUCAAUUGACGUUACUCGCAGAAGAAGCACCGGCUAACUCCGUGCCAGCAGCCGCGGUAAUACGGAGGGUGCAGCGUGUAAUCGGAAUUACUGGGCGUAAAGCGCACGCAGGCGGUUUGUUAAGUCAGAUGUGAAAUCCCCGGGCUCAACCUGGGAACUGCAUUUGAAACUGGCAAGCUAGAGUCUCGUAGAGGGGGUAGAAUUCCAGGUGUAGCGGUGAAAUGCGUAGAGAUCUGGAGGAAUACCGGUGGCGAAGGCGGCCCCCUGGACGAAGACUGACGCUCAGGUGCGAAAGCGUGGGGAGCAAACAGGAUUAGAUACCCUGGUAGUCCACGCUGUAAACGAUGUCGAUUUUGGAGGUUGUGCCCUUGAGGCGUGGCUUCCGGAGCUAACGCGUUAAAUCGACCGCCUGGGGAGUACGGCCGCAAGGUUAAAAC